UCAGGGUUCUUUCUCUAAUCUGCACACAGCAAGCAGCAACAGAAAUGUAAGUUCCUGUACUGAAGUUAAGGUUUAGCAUUAGCAUGUAGCUUAGCAUUAGCAACAACUUGUAUUAGUUUAUUGUUUGAAUUUAUACAGAACUUUGGUAAUGACUAAACUUCUUGUGUCUUGUAGUUUUCACUCCUUCAAUCUGGUGAAGAAAUGAAAAGAGGAGAUCAUCUCUUUGCUCCCUUCAGAGCACUUCCUGUUGAUAAAUCCAGAGCUACAGAUUCACAGAUAUAAGAAGACCGAGGAGUUCAGAUGAAAAGAAACAAAGCUACAUGGACAGACAGCAUCGUUAACAAAAACAGGCCAAUCAGAGUCCACAUUUUGAAGGUCUCGGUCUGGGACUAGAAGGAAAAAACAUCAAAUAACUUCAGUCCCCGGUUACGACCACAACCUUCCUGGUGUUACGCUCCAACUGUUUGUACAGGUUGCUCCUCCUCGUAUUUGCUCCGCUCGUGGCAACAAUAUUAUUUGACUUUUCUUUCACAAAGCUGAACUGUACCUGUAGGUCUGUCUUGAUGAGCGAGGCUCCUGCUUGGACCAGAUAAUGACAGAUAGUUCUUUGAGACAGGGACGCAG
This is a non-coding RNA of Labrus bergylta (ballan wrasse), 624 nucleotides long. NCBI's taxonomy places the organism in Eukaryota, Metazoa, Chordata, Actinopteri, Labriformes, Labridae. The record is from RefSeq and is a predicted model, not a curated record.